Long non-coding RNA from Dama dama (fallow deer), 596 nucleotides. RefSeq lists it as uncharacterized. The record is from RefSeq and is a predicted model, not a curated record. NCBI's taxonomy places the organism in Eukaryota, Metazoa, Chordata, Mammalia, Artiodactyla, Cervidae. The transcript is spliced from 3 exons.
GAAGCUUCCUCUGCGACUGCGCGGGCUCAGCGCGCGCUCGCUUGUCUCCUGGCGGCGGCUCGCGUUUCCAGUCAGGUUCUGUCGAGGGAGGGGAGGUCGGUGCAGCCUGCACUCUCUGAACAGUUCACUUAAAGAAGACUGGCUCCUCUGUUUGCUGGAUAUUUAAAGCUGGUGCAGGAGAAGGUGGGCAGGGUCUGCCCCAAGGGCUCUGAGACAAGCUUCUCCGAUGCUGCAGAAUCUGCUCUGGGCUGAAGCGCCCAGCAGGGACUUGCUCUGCCCUGCCGGAGCCCACAGGAAGCAGCCCUGAGUCUAAUAAGACCCAGCGCGGGCACAACAAAGGCCGGGCGGCUGCCUAACAAGCUGUUGCCGCAGCACUCAAGACUCAUCGGGGCCAUGACAGAGGCAGCCAGCGAGUCUCCCCAGGAAGAGAACAGGAGGAAGAGGCCGCAGACAGUGCCAGCAGAAACUAGGAGAAGAACAGAUUAAGAAGAGGUGGAAGGAAAGGAGCCCCUUCGCGGACGUGGGCCUACCUAGAGCCGCCAGGAACUCGUGACAGCCGGGGAGCCGCCACAGCUGGACGCUGAUGGACACCUGGA